Molecule: ribosomal RNA, 391 nt
Filed under: uncultured bacterium
Lineage: Bacteria
Description: partial 16S ribosomal RNA
Rfam family: Bacterial small subunit ribosomal RNA
Source: RNAcentral
AUACGGAGGAUCCGAGCGUUAUCCGGAUUUAUUGGGUUUAAAGGGUGCGCAGGCGGCCAUUUAAGUCAGCGGUUAAAUCGUGGGGCUCAACCCCAUUCUGCCGUUGAUACUGGGUGGCUUGAUUGCGGUCGAGGUUGGCGGAAUUCGUUGUGUAGCGGUGAAAUGCAUAGAUAUGACGAAGAACACCGAUUGCGUAGGCAGCUGACCAGACCGCAAAUGACGCUCAUGCACGAAAGUGCGGGAUCGAACAGGAUUAGAUACCCUGGUAGUCCGCACAGUAAACGAUGAAUACUUGUUUUCGGCGAUAUAAUGUCGGAGGCAAAGCGAAAGCGAUAAGUAUUCCACCUGGGGAGUACGCCGGCAACGGUGAAACUCAAAUGAAUUGGCGGGG